This 513-nucleotide ribosomal RNA is filed under the name Triticum aestivum (bread wheat). RNAcentral's name for it is "partial small subunit ribosomal RNA". Lineage: Eukaryota; Viridiplantae; Streptophyta; Magnoliopsida; Poales; Poaceae. The record is from RNAcentral.
AUGGCCCCGGCGGCGGAGAUGGCCUCGGCGGAGCUUGACGCCGGGAGUGCCUUGGAGAGGGGGAGCCGCUGCCCAGAGGGAGAGCGCGUUGUUGAGGGGAGGAAUUCGGGGAACCACAUCUCACUACUGGAUGUGGACGACCUCAAACGAAGAUGGCUUGCCAUUACAGAGAAAGCGGGGAAGGGAAGAGUGGUGCUUCGGCGACCGCAAAAAGCUGUAGUUGGUAAGAUGGAUCCGAUGGUGGCGGAUCUGAAGAACAUGGCGUGGGAGAUCAUUGAAGGCGGGAUGGGGAAUCGAAGGAAAGAGGAAAGCAGAUCCCCGGAGAAGGAAGAUCAAGGAGAGCCACCAGUGCAGAAGAUCCAGGCCAUCCCUGUGAUUGCAGGACAGGCCUGUGCGCCGGAAAGGGAGCUCCACGACCAGAAGAGGAAACCAACAGAGGUGUGGUGCACCUGCACGGGGAAGCUUUGGAGCUGGUCGAGAGCGUCAUGUUAUGCUGUACUUAGGCUUACCUAA